Salmo salar (Atlantic salmon) is the source of this 54-nucleotide non-coding RNA. The record is from Rfam. Lineage: Eukaryota; Metazoa; Chordata; Actinopteri; Salmoniformes; Salmonidae.
UGAUAACAAGUUAGUAAGUCGCUCUGGAUAAGAGCGUCUGCUAAAUGACUUAAA